Molecule: transfer RNA, 68 nt
Filed under: Dallia pectoralis (Alaska blackfish)
Lineage: Eukaryota; Metazoa; Chordata; Actinopteri; Esociformes; Umbridae
Description: tRNA-Thr
Rfam family: tRNA (bases 4-62)
About the family: Transfer RNA (tRNA) molecules are approximately 80 nucleotides in length. Their secondary structure includes four short double-helical elements and three loops (D, anti-codon, and T loops). Further hydrogen bonds mediate the characteristic L-shaped molecular structure. tRNAs have two regions of fundamental functional importance: the anti-codon, which is responsible for specific mRNA codon recognition, and the 3' end, to which the tRNAs corresponding amino acid is attached (by aminoacyl-tRNA synthetases). tRNAs cope with the degeneracy of the genetic code in two manners: having more than one tRNA (with a specific anti-codon) for a particular amino acid; and 'wobble' base-pairing, i.e. permitting non-standard base-pairing at the 3rd anti-codon position.
Source: RNAcentral
UUGGUAGCUCAGUGGUAGAGUGCAUGCUUUGUGUGUAUGACGUCCUGGGUUCAGAUCCCGGCUUUAAA